This 807-nucleotide long non-coding RNA is filed under the name Eucalyptus grandis. Its description in RNAcentral is "long non-coding RNA (EGRA_LNC007475)". The record is from RNAcentral. Lineage: Eukaryota; Viridiplantae; Streptophyta; Magnoliopsida; Myrtales; Myrtaceae.
AAAAAUAACUUUUCUAUUAUGGAUAUUAAAAAUCCUAUCCACAUUUAUCCCACCUCCCCUAUGGAAUAAUUUUAUCAUAUCUAUAUUCUCAUUAUAUCUGACUUUAUUCUGUCCUGAGCGAGCACCAAACGUAGGAUAGGAUAAAUCAAUCUCAUAUUCCAAAUUUUAUCCCAAUUGCCAAACGCAGCCUUAAGACUUAAACAAAGAGUAUCAACAAUUUCCUGGGAACAUAGACAAUGCCUACACAAUGAUGGGAGAGAAUUUUCUCAUGAAUGGAUGUUAGCCAGCAUUUUGAUGACUACCUGAAUGCUUAAAUCAUCUUUGCUCAAUGGUGGAAGAAAGACCACAAACAAGGUAUAUCUAGAAACAGUCUCUAGCAUUAUAACCAAAAUCUAUUACACAUUCAACUGUAGCAAAUAGAUCAUUCCAACCAUUGACAGGCCAAAUCCUAGAUAGAAACCCUAUCUAGAUGAUAGAUCCAUAAGCCAUGUUACUAGAUGCUAAAACCAAGUUGGAGACGUGGACAAAGACCUAAAAGCUAAAGACAUGUCUAGAUAGAUAGCUUUUUGCCCACAAUGCAGGAAGUUGACCACCUGCAACUCUUUCCCAUCUUUGUUUUAUCUUCAUUGAUUUUCAGGCAUUAAGAUACUAUAGAAUUUAUUUAUUUUUUUGCAUAGACAAAACAUCUUAUAUUCCCGUGAUGAUCAAAUAAAUUCCUCAUGGAAGAUUUUCGCAUAUGGUAGGGAUACCAAAUUAACACCCUCACUAAAGUAAUGCAGAAGGAAAAGUGCAAUAAAAUAAGGGAAC